This 64-nucleotide long non-coding RNA is filed under the name Betta splendens (Siamese fighting fish). Its description in RNAcentral is "lncRNA (ENSBSLG00000011900.1)". Lineage: Eukaryota; Metazoa; Chordata; Actinopteri; Anabantiformes; Osphronemidae. The record is from RNAcentral.
AAUGUACAAAACAAAACAAAAAAAAAAAAAAAAAAAAAAAAAAAAAAAAAAAAAGAGGACAAAA